Molecule: ribosomal RNA, 497 nt
Filed under: uncultured bacterium
Lineage: Bacteria
Description: partial 16S ribosomal RNA
Rfam family: Bacterial small subunit ribosomal RNA
Source: RNAcentral
GAUGAACGCUGGCGGCGUGCCUAAUACAUGCAAGUCGAGCGAACAGACGAGGAGCUUGCUCCUCUGACGUUAGCGGCGGACGGGUGAGUAACACGUGGAUAACCUACCUAUAAGACUGGGAUAACUUCGGGAAACCGGAGCUAAUACCGGAUAAUAUAUUUAACCGCAUGGUUCAAUAGUGAAAGACGGUUUUGCUGCCACUUAUAGAUGGAUCCGCGCCGCAUUAGCUAGUUGGUAAGGUAACGGCUUACCAAGGCAACGAUGCGUAGCCGACCUGAGAGGGUGAUCGCCCACACUGGACCUGAGACACGGCCCAGACUCCUACGGGAGGCGGCAGAGGGGAAUCUUCGGCAUGGGCGGAAGGCCUGACGGAGCAACGCCGCUUGAGUGAUGAAGGUCUUCGGAUCGUAAAACUCGGUUAUUAGGGAAGAACAAAUGUGUAAGUAAAUAUGCACGUCUUGACGGUACCUAAUCAGAAAGCCACGGCUAACUACGUG